Molecule: long non-coding RNA, 2221 nt
Organism: Alexandromys fortis (reed vole)
Lineage: Eukaryota; Metazoa; Chordata; Mammalia; Rodentia; Cricetidae
Exons: 2
Source: RefSeq, a predicted model, not a curated record
UCUCAAGCCAUUCCCACCACCGUUCACUCCCACAGAUUGCUCAAUGCGUUCCUUUGGUCUCUGCUGCAGGCCCUGGCGAUGACAGUGCCUUCACCUCCAGGAAUACUGACCUCCUUUUCCAAGCUGAAUCUCUUCCCUUCUCCCAGAAGGGAGGCCUGCCUCUAUCUGCUAUGUUCUCCUGGCAGCAACUUUCCCAGCUCCUUCUCCUGGGCCAAGAGCACAUGCUCAUGUCCAGUUAUGUCUUAAAGGGCUGAAAGUCUACCACGCUCCGCAAACUCAUCGUCCUCGUCUGCUACUGAUUGUUCACUGUGUCUCAGGCCUUGUAUUGCUUUCUUCAGCCCUCAAAUGCAAGGUCACAAGUGUGUCCUGUGUUAAGAAAGACUGGGACACGCUGGUCUGAGGACAAAAACCCUAGCUCAUUUUGUUCUAUUCCCGGAACGGCAAGUGCUUGCUGGAGAUUAUUCAUCCACGGUUCGGAAGCGCUGUGAGCCUGUUUACUGCUGCAUCCUUCUGCUCUGUUACAUAACACAAGAGGACAGACUCUGGAAAACACGAAAGGGGGGACGCUCGCAUAAGAACAUCGUGUGAGAUACCUCAAGCUCUCUCCACCUUCUGUUAAAAGCCACGUUCCCCGAGCUCACAAGUUUCCUUUGGUGAACAAUUGCAAUGUAUAGUCAGAGUUUGAAUGGUUGCCAACUAAAAUUCUUGCAUCGAGCUCCAUGGCUCUCUGUUCCACCAAGACAAAUAAGAGUGGCCCCAACCCCUCACUUAGAGCAUUGUUCACGGUGCUGAGCCGUGAUUUUCCAUAUCUGUCUUUGUGUUCACCCCAGGAGGAAGGGUGAGCCUGGUUUAUUGAGUUCUUAUUUCUCACAAAGCGGUAACAUCUGGAGGGCUGAGCAGUUUGUUGGCAGGUCCAGUCUGAAGGAAUUCGGCCAUGAUUCCGAUUGGCUCUUAUCAGUAGGUGUCACUAAAGACAGUUUCAGAGACAGAAAAAUAAAUAGGCCAAUUAAGUAAUGCCAAGAACAGCCUAUUUUAUAGUCAUUUCUGCUCCUUUUAUUGUUGUUCCAACUGCAGAAGUUUCAAGAUUGUAAUUAUCCCCGGCUUUCCCCCCCUGCUGCAAAUGAACAUUUUUCCAUUUUCCAAAUGCCUCCAAGAGAGGGACAUUUAAUUAAUAUAUUUAUUUUGUGGUGCUUGAUGUAGUGGGUUAGCAAAAUGAAAACAGAUGAAGGCUAUUAAUUCUAACACUUUAUUGCAAUGAAGCUACAGCCAGCUGUUCCUCUGCAAACAGGCUAACCGAGACUUUGCCAGCCCCUUUCUCUGCAGCCUGAUGCUUCAUGUUCGUAGAGAGCAAGGCCCCUCACUCAUCCCACCUUGGCCAUGCUUUUGUGUCCCUAGAGGUUACAAAUGCUGGCUGCCUAUUUCUGAGAUCAGCAGAAGUGACGCCUAGGCCACCACACCCACUGGUGACUGACACCUACCCCCUGCAAAGGAAGAAGUCCAGUAGGGAAAAUUCAAGUUGAUCUCCAAAUCCGAACAAUCCUGAGAGGUACCUGAGAAAAACAAGUUGGGAAAUGGUCAAAUCAAUAGAUUUUAUUUGCAACAUGGUUUGUGACUAAUACCAGGUAUGGCCUGGGGUAGGUGUCCAGGUCAUGUCUGCAAAAUAAGUGAAAUAGCUGCCACAGUUUGCUAAACUAUGAACCUAUUCCUUAAGGCUCUUAAAUGCGCUCUGCACCUCCCUGCCACUGUGUGCUAAAGAUGGAUGCACCGCAUUUGGGUGAGCAUUUGCAGGGCAUGAGCCUGGGUGAGUGCUUACCUGUCCUCCCACUUCAGAAACAUCCCCUUAACACCUGUAUGUAGACUCUUGGGUUUAAGGACAAAACUCGGUGGCUUUUAACCCAAAAUACUUAAUAAUUACAAAGAUAAAAGCAAGCAGCAGGCAAUAGUCAAGAGCAGCAGUAGGCUAGGGUGUGCUCGUCCUGGCCCCUACAUGGUUUCUCUUAAUCCCACAAAGGCCACGUGCUGACUGUGAUGGAUGCUAUCAUCAUCUUACAUGAGAAAACGUGCAUCAUCCUUGCUGUCUGUUCACAAGGAUACAACUGCAACGUGGUAGAGUCGGACUGGAGAGCAGUCUGCCUGAGUCUAAACCUGCUCUCUUGAUGGCCCCUUCUGACCCAGAACCAGUAGCAAGCCUAAAUAAUGACAAAAAAAAAAAAAAAGAGCA